GCAUCAGCCUGAACACCACAAUUAUUACCACCACCGAUACCACAGGUAACGGGGCGGGCUGACGCACACCGAAAAUAGAAAAAAAGCCCGCACCUAACCAGUGCGGGUUUUUUUUUG
This is a regulatory RNA element of Serratia sp. DD3, 117 nucleotides long. The record is from Rfam. NCBI's taxonomy places the organism in Bacteria, Pseudomonadati, Pseudomonadota, Gammaproteobacteria, Enterobacterales, Yersiniaceae.